GACGAACGCUGGCGGCGUGCUUAACACAUGCAAGUCGAACGGUGAAAGAAGAGCUUGCUCUUCUGGAUCAGUGGCGAACGGGUGAGUAACACGUGAGUAACCUGUCCCAGACUCUGGAAUAAGCGCUUGAAACGGCGUCUAUUACCGGAUACGAUACAGCGCCGAAUGGCUACCCUCCGGUAAGUUUUUCGGUCUGGGAUGGACUCGCGGCCGAUCAGCUUGUUGGUGAGGUAACGGCUCACCAAGGCAACGACGGGUAGCCGGCCUGAGAGGGCCACCGGCCACACUGGGCCUGGGCCGCGGCCCAGACUCCUACGGGAGGCAGAAGUGGGGAAUAUUGCACAAUGGGCGGAAGCCUGAUGCAGCGACGCCGCGUGGGGGAUGACGGCCUUCGGGUUGUAAACCUCUUUCAGCAGGGAAGAAGCGAAAGUGACGGUACCUGCAGAAGAAGCCCCGGCUAACUACGUG
Molecule: ribosomal RNA, 468 nt
Filed under: uncultured bacterium
Lineage: Bacteria
Description: partial 16S ribosomal RNA
Rfam family: Bacterial small subunit ribosomal RNA
Source: RNAcentral